Long non-coding RNA from Lemur catta (Ring-tailed lemur), 1457 nucleotides. RefSeq lists it as uncharacterized. NCBI's taxonomy places the organism in Eukaryota, Metazoa, Chordata, Mammalia, Primates, Lemuridae. The transcript has 3 exons. The record is from RefSeq and is a predicted model, not a curated record.
UGUGCGUCACGACGCCGCCAGCUGAUCGGAGACUGGAGCCGGUGUGUGCUGGGCGCUGGGAAGAGACAGCGCCGCCGGCCGUGGGGAGCUGACGCAGUGAUUUGCUCCCUUACCCUCAGCAACCCCCACACCCAGCACCAGGAGCCCAAUCCUCUCACAUCCUCACCUGGCUGAGCCGCAGUAGUUCUUCAGUGGCAAGCUUUAUGUCCUGACCCAGCUAAAGCUGCCAGUUGAAGAACUGUUGCCCUCUGCCCCUGACUUCGAGGAGGAGGAGGAAGAGGAAGAGGAGGAGCUGCUCUCCCCAUCAUCUGGAAGUGUCCCCCUCCAGCCCUGGGAAUGUGGCUGUGCCAUCUUCACCCAUCAUGGAGCAGAGGUGAGGAAGGGCAGCCUGGGAACACGGAGACCAGUGAAGGACCAGGCCUGGACAGCACAGGGCCCUAUUUGGACAUCCAGCAGAGGGGCCCAUAAAGGCCAGGAGCACCCCAAGAGGAGGGAGAACAGCCAGCCUCUGUCAAACGACAAGCUUCCAGCCAUCUCCUACUUCACUCACCAUUUCUCUCCAGUCUUUCUGCCUCCCUCAGAGAUGUGGGACCAUAGGAAAGCAUCCUGUAACUUCACCCUCCUACUUCCACCUUUUCCCCAGCCUGUAAUUUUUAUAUAAGCAGCCUCAAGGAGCAAGAGCCAGCUGUGAAAGGACAUACACAGGAAUUCAUAACAGAAAUUCAAAUGGAUAAAACCAUGAAAGAAAUGCAUGCUUCAUUAGUAAGUAAAGAAAGGCAAAUAUAUAAUAGCUGAAAGCAUUUUUCCCUUAGCAAACUAUAGCAGAAAAAAAUAAGGCCCAACAUUGGCAAAAGAGUACUGAAAUAACAUUCUCAUACAUUGCAUGUGGGAGUAUAAAUUGGUUUAGCCUUUUGGAUGGCAGUUAGGUAAUAUGUAUCAUAUACCCUAAAAGCUUCCAUGUCCUUUGACCUUGUAAUUUUAUGUCUGGGAAUUUAUCCUAAGAAAAUAAUUAAGGAUUUAGUUAUAAGAUGUUCAUCCCAGCAUUGCAAUAGGGAAAAAUGAGAAGCAACUGUUUGAUUGGGAAUUCAUUCCUUUUCUGCUAUAAUGAAAAUUUGCAAUAGGGGGUUGCUUAAGUAAAUUAUUGUAUAUCCAUCCAGAUGGCGGAGUACUGCACAGCCAUUAAAAGUCACAUAGAAAAACAUUUGACUAGAAAGAAAAAUGCUCUCUGAAUAUUAAAAAGGUUAUAAAAAGUAUAUAUUAUGUGAUCUCAAUUUUAUUUUUAAAAAUAUGAGUAUAUACUUGUAUGCAUAGAACAGAUAAAAAAGAUUGAAGACAUACUCAAAAAUGUUAAUAGUGGUUAUCUUUGGAUGGUGUGAUUUUCCUCUGGUUUUUCUGUAAUUUUUCAAAUUUUCUACAUUAAUUGUGUAUUGUUUUCAUAUAAUAAAAAUUUAAAUGAU